Long non-coding RNA from Balaenoptera musculus (blue whale), 1045 nucleotides. RefSeq lists it as uncharacterized. Lineage: Eukaryota; Metazoa; Chordata; Mammalia; Artiodactyla; Balaenopteridae. The record is from RefSeq and is a predicted model, not a curated record. The transcript is spliced from 4 exons.
CUGAGGUCAGAGUCCUGAGGAGCCCUUUCUCAGUGUGGGUCAUUUUCUGUUUGAUUUUGAAUUUGUCCACGCUGUGAUGGACUAUUUUUUGAACACUACUAUGUGCCAGCUACUGUCCUGGGUGCUAGAGAUACCUCAGUGAACAACACAGACACGUGCGGUGCCCUAGCACGCUUCGGGGUCAGAUGCUGCUUCAUUAAGGCCAAGCCAACUAUGGGGAAGCAAGAGAGAAGGAGAAGGACGCCUCAGUGAAAGCUUGGGUUUGAGAUUUGUUACACAGCCUGCAGGGUUUGGGACAAACAGAAGAUAAAAGGACUUUGGAGAGAGGGAGCCCAGAGUGAAAGGGAGAUGUAGAGAUGUUACAGUGAGAUCAAAGGCUAAAAGAUGGCAAAUGUCCAAAGGAAGAGAGGUGGUGAAGACAUUUCAGGAAGGGCAGUGGAGACUUUUCCUCUGAGAAGGGCAGUGCAGUCAAGUGGAAAACACCUGGGCUGGGACACAAGCGACCCUGAACCCCUCCAGCGCUGCUGCCCACUCUCCUUGGAGAAUGUUCCGUGAAUGAAUAGUGUGUGAAAGAACAGCUAACCCUGGAAAGGGGGAGCUAAAGAGCAAGAAUUGUCCCACACCGCCACGCCACCCCGUGCACCAGUUGUGGGACCACCACACACAGCUCUGCCUGUGAUUAGUUGUUCUCACGUAGACUCUGCUGCUGGAAGAUGUACUGACCAGCUGAGACAAAUAUCUGACCCACUUGGCAAUCGUGUUUCUCACAGUAAAUGAAUACGUUGGCACUCCAGUUUAUGCACCUGUGGGGAUGCUUGACCUGCACAUGUUAAGGCAAAGACCCCAGACACGGGCAAUCAAAAUAAGGUGUGGCCUCUCAGAGGGACCCUGCCAGAAAAUGAUCAACUGGCUUCCCUAGUGAACGACUAUUCCUCAUGGCCACAACUGUGAGAACAAUCUCCUCUUAGGUCAAAAGUAGACAGAAGGGCUUCCCUGGUGGCGCAGUAGUUAAGAAUCCGCCUGCCAAUGCAGGGGACACGGGUUC